CCUGUCUAGGAAUCAAGGGGUAGAAGUGAAAGUGGCACCACUCACCGUCACCCCUAGUGACUCAUUAGCAAAACGUUUGCUUCCUGUUCCUGCAACGUUACAUUCUGCUGUCAAUUAAGGCCUAGAGGUCUUAGUUCCAGAGGGAAGAAUGUUGCCACCAGAAGACACAAUGAUUCAAUUGAACUGGAAGUUAAGACUAUCACCUUGCCACUUUGGGCUCCUCCUGCCUCUAAGUCAACAGGCUAAGAGGAGUUACAGUGUUGACUGGGGUGAUUGACCCGAACUAUCAAGAUAAAAUCAGUCUACUACUACACAAUGGAGGUCAAGAAGAGCAUGUCUGGAAUACAGGAGAUUCCUUAGGCCAUCUCUUAGUAUUACCAUGCCCUGUGAUUAAGAUCAAUGGGAAACUAUAAAAAUGCAAUCCAGGCAUGACUACAAAUAACCCAGGCCCUUCAAGGAUGAAGAUUUAGUUCACUCCACCAGAUGCUCGUGUCAAAGAGAAGAGCUACAAGACUGUUUCUGCCCCCAAGGUGCUCCAGUCCAUUGGAGAAGCAAACACAUAACUGAGAAUGACUCACCUUGUGAUGGCUGCUAUGAUGAGGUUCAUACCUGGUGCUACAGGACACAGAGAGGCAUAAUAAUGUGGUCACACUAAUGCAAGAAGUAGAUUCCCAUGGUCUUGGGCACUCUGCCCCUGUGGCUUUGCAGGGUACAGCCUCCCUUCUGUCUGAUUUCACAGGCCGGCAUUGAAUGUCUGUGACUUUUCCAGGUGGAGUCUUGCUCUGUCACCCAGGUUGGAGUGCAGUGGCACGAUCUUGGCUCACUGCAACCUCCACCUCCUUGGUUCAAGUGAUUCUACUGCCUCAGCCUCCCAAGUAGCUGGGAUUACAGGCAUGCACCACCAGGCCUGGCUAAUUUUUGUAUUUUUAGUAGAGAUGGGGUUUCACCAUGUUGGCCAGGCUGCUCUUGAACUCCUGACCUCAGGUGAUCUGCCUGCCUCUGCCUCCCAAAGUAUUGGGAUUACAGGCGUGAGCCACUGUGGCCAGGCCGAACUACCUUUUUCAUAUUACAUAAGAUACAGUCUUAGAUCUGACUGUUCAUUAGGCACAAUGCCUAGAACAGUGGUCCUCAACCUUUUGGCACCAGGGACUGGUUUCAUGGAGAACAAUUUUUCCAUGGACCAGGGUGGGGGAUGGUUUUGGG
Molecule: long non-coding RNA, 1203 nt
Filed under: Homo sapiens (human)
Lineage: Eukaryota; Metazoa; Chordata; Mammalia; Primates; Hominidae
Description: HSALNT0165901
Source: RNAcentral